RNAcentral lists this long non-coding RNA (947 nucleotides) under Cyanistes caeruleus (blue tit). RNAcentral's name for it is "lncRNA (ENSCCEG00000008663.1)". The record is from RNAcentral. Lineage: Eukaryota; Metazoa; Chordata; Aves; Passeriformes; Paridae.
AGGGAUUGUUUCAAAUUAAAUGAUUUUUCCUCAUAAAAUGUAAUAGGGUCACCAAUUCUUUUUCAGCUUUCUGGCAUUUCAAGCAGAAGUGGAAGAAGUUUAAUGGACAAUGAUUGCUGUCAAGCCCUGCAGGGACAGGUUUCAAGUGGCAGCUAUGUGGGAUAAAUGCAGCAUGUGGAAUACAGGGCCUGAGGGAUGCUCAGCACCCAGCAUUACAGGAUUCUGCCUUUUUCUUGUCUUUGUGUUUUUCUCCUUCAGAGACGGAAGCCUGCUUCAAUGUGUCACAGUACAUUUUGAUGGCCCUGUAACACAGAGAAAAGACCUGAUAACUUACUGCACAGGCAAGAGCAAACACCUAUCAAUGCUGUCUUGAAUACAGCCCCUUUCUGAACAACAGACUGUUGGCUUAUGUUAGAUACCACUGUGAAAUGGAUCCUCAGGGGUGAAGCUCUUGGAGCAGCGGCCUGUGAAGGGGAGCAGCCCUGUGCAGCGCCGUACAAAGAGGUGAUGUACUGCGACAUGUAGAGGCCACUGCUCCUUCUCAUCCUGCCUCAUCAUUGUGGCUUCUGCCCAAAGGUGUGUGUGGAGUGUGCCAGCAUAUUUGCACUGUGAUACAAGGAGAGACAAGACAAAACAUGAGUUCCUUGCAGAAGCCAGGCAAGAGAGGCUCUGACUGAGGUCUGAGGUGCAUAUUGUGUAAUUGUAUGUUACUCAUUAUGACCCUGUUUUUAUUGCUUGGUUCAGUCCUACAGCUCUCAGACCACGAUGCUGACUUCCAGGAAACUUUAAAAAUAUUGUUUCCCAAAAGCUGAAGUUAGGCUAUUGUCAUAUAAAAAAUAGCUGUGGUUUAUGGUCUUGUCAAAUUAAGUUCAGCUUCAGUAAACAUGACAUGAAAUCUAUACAAGACAGCCUCACCAGUGAAUAAAAAGGCUUAUUCAGCCUAGUCA